AUUGAACGCUGGCGGCAUGCCUUACACAUGCAAGUCGAACGGCAGCACGGGAGCAAUCCUGGUGGCGAGUGGCGAACGGGUGAGUAAUAUAUCGGAACGUGCCCAGUAAUGGGGGAGAGCCCGGCGAAAGCCGGAUUAAUACCGCAUACGAUCUACGGGUGAAAGCGGGGGAUCGCAAGAACUGGCAUUAUUGGGGCGACCGAUAUCAGAUUAGGUUGUUGGUGGGGUAAAAGCCCACCCAGCCGACGAUCUGUAGCUGGUCUGAGAGGACGACCAGCCACACUGGGACUGAGACACGGCCCAGACUCCUACGGGAGGCAGCAGUGGGGAAUUUUGGACAAUGGGCGCAAGCCUGAUCCAGCCAUGCCGCGUGUGGGAAGAAGGCCUUCGGGUUGUAAACCACUUUUGUCAGGGAAGAAACGGCUCUUACUAAUAUUAGGAGCUAAUGACGGUACCUGAAGAAUAAGCACCGGCUAACUACGUGCCAGCAGCCGCGGUAAAAC
RNAcentral lists this ribosomal RNA (503 nucleotides) under uncultured bacterium. RNAcentral's name for it is "bacterial SSU rRNA". It matches the Rfam family "Bacterial small subunit ribosomal RNA", at positions 30 to 526 of the family's 1533-position model. The record is from RNAcentral.